UCGUUACACCCACCACUGCAUAAGUCAUACUGAAACUGAAAGCCACAGCUUUAUUAAUCCCAUGUGAUCAUUCAGAGAGAGUCAGAGUGGAAUGAACUCUUUCACUGUGAAGACACACUGAGCGCAGAAUCACAACCAUGAAUACUGUAAAUGCUGUGCAACUGUUCAUUCUGGUUUGGACCUUUACUGCUGUCUGUGAAGCUGAAAAUUUCAAUGUAAUCUGUGAUGAUGUGACUGGAUUUGUGGGGAAAAAAGUAGAUCUCACCUGCAGAGUCUCUCAGGAAUGUGACAACUACUGCAUGAAAAUGUAUAAGUUUAAAUUCCCCAAUGACACAAUACUCUGUAAACAAGAGUCUCCUGUGAACUGUGAUCAGAGUAAGAACUUCACAUGCAGCUACACUCCAACUACUAAAAUUGAAGAAAAAAUCAUAUUCUUUGUGCAAGCGAUCUGUGGAAAGAAAACAACAGAAUUCACUGUGGAUAUAGCAGAACCAGAAAAAAUCAAAGUUGGUCCUAAACCUGAGGAUCCUGAAUCUAAGGAUACUGCCAUCGCUGCAGCUGUGGGCUGUUUCAGCAUCGUUCUCAUCAUCAUCAUCAUGAUUAUCAUUUACAAAACAAAAACAAAAUCUUGUGGAAAUGUGAUAUAACAGCAUCGACUCAGCAGUACGAGUUCUCAUGUGCUGCUCACGAAACACACAUCUUUAUUUUAACUCCACUCCUAACUACACACUGUACUCUACUAUCUGAUCUAUCUCUAACUACUGAAUAUAUAACUCUGGAUGUUGGUUUCUGUUUUAUAGACGGUUUCAUCGGGCGCACGAGCAGUAACGUUUGCUUAUGUUGUUGCCGUUGAAACCAUCUAUAUUGAUUUCUGUGAAAUAACACCAUAUUAUUGAUCGGUUUGAUCAGUGUGUAUAUUUGUAUAUAUGUGACUUUAAUGAACUCAAGCCUUUGUGAACUAUAAGAGGAAACACAGCUAAACUUAAACUGUCUUUGGUUUUGCAGUUUUUUCAGAAUUUCAAGGAAUGUUUAAAAUGAAUGUUAAUGUAUUAAUGUUAAUAUAAUUCAAGUUUGGAAAUGAUUUCUUAAUAUUUUGCACAAAUGAUUUGCAAAAUGUGAAUUGUGUGGUCUUGUACUGUCUUAUAUUAUUUUUAAAGAAAAUUUAAAUGAAUAAAGACUUGUAAUACUCUCUGAAAAUGAAUAUCUGUUUAUGGGUAUGUUAUACUUGUGUGCAAAGUGCAAAGAGCUGAUCUUGUAUGCAUACAUUAUUUCGUUGUGUUAGACAAAUGUCAUAAUCUUAUUCUGCAGGAAAUCUUAAGAAAUCUCAGGGUUUUAUAUUUGCAUUAAAGGUUUUUAUUUGAUCAGUUCAUGCAUUCAGUAACAUAACCUGUUUGAGUUUGAGAUACAGGAGUAACUGAGAAAUAAAAACUUUUCUGGGAAAGAGAACAGCCGAUGAAAACAAACAC
Carassius gibelio (silver crucian carp) is the source of this 1466-nucleotide long non-coding RNA. RefSeq lists it as uncharacterized. Lineage: Eukaryota; Metazoa; Chordata; Actinopteri; Cypriniformes; Cyprinidae. The record is from RefSeq and is a predicted model, not a curated record. The transcript is spliced from 4 exons.